ACUUCUCUUGUAUCAAAAAUGAGUAAACUGACAGGCAUGGUGGUAUGCACUCUUAGUCUCAGCUACUCAGUUCUGGGCUGUAGUGUGCUAUGCCAAGCAGGCAUCUGCACUAAGUUUGGCAUUAAUAUGGUAACCACUUGGGAAGGGAAACCACCAGGUUGCCUAAGGAGGGGUGAACUGGUCCAGGUUGGAAAUAGAGCAGGUCAAAACUCCCAUGCUGAUCAGUAGUGGGAUGGCACCUGUGAAUAGCCACUGCCCUCCAACCUGGGCAACAUAUCAAGACUCCAU
Aotus nancymaae (Ma's night monkey) is the source of this 288-nucleotide unclassified non-coding RNA. It matches the Rfam family "Metazoan signal recognition particle RNA". Rfam says of the family: The signal recognition particle (SRP) is a universally conserved ribonucleoprotein. It is involved in the co-translational targeting of proteins to membranes. NCBI's taxonomy places the organism in Eukaryota, Metazoa, Chordata, Mammalia, Primates, Aotidae. The record is from Ensembl.